CUGAGUGCCGGACGGGUGAGUAACGCGUGAGGAACCUGCCUUGCAGUGGGGAAUAACAGUUGGAAACGACUGCUAAUACCGCAUAAUGCAGAGAGACCGCAUGAUCUUUCUGCCAAAGAUUUAUCGCUGUAAGAUGGCCUCGCGUCUGAUUAGCUAGUUGGUGGGGUAACGGCCUACCAAGGCGACGAUCAGUAGCCGGACUGAGAGGUUGAUCGGCCGCAUUGGGACUGAGACACGGCCCAGACUCCUACGGGAGGCAGCAGUGAGGGAUAUUGGGCAAUGGGGGAAACCCUGACCCAGCAACGCCGCGUGAGGGAAGAAGGUCUUCGGAUUGUAAACCUAAGUAGUCAGGGACGAAGAAAUGACGGUACCUGAAGAGUAAGCUCCGGCUAACUACGUGCCAGCAGCCGCGGUAAUACGUAGGGAGCGAGCGUUGUCCGGAUUUACUGGGUGUAAAGGGUGCGUAGGCGGGCUGUCAAGUCAGAUGUGAAAUACCGGGGCUCAACUCCGGGGCUGCAUUUGAAACUGAUGGUCUUGAGUGAAGUAGAGGCAGGCGGAAUUCCUAGUGUAGCGGUGAAAUGCGUAGAUAUUAGGAGGAACACCAGUGGCGAAGGCGGCCUGCUGGGCUUUAACUGACGCUGAGGCACGAAAGC
This 653-nucleotide ribosomal RNA is filed under the name uncultured Lachnospiraceae bacterium. RNAcentral's name for it is "bacterial SSU rRNA". It matches the Rfam family "Bacterial small subunit ribosomal RNA", at positions 91 to 760 of the family's 1533-position model. Lineage: Bacteria; Bacillati; Bacillota; Clostridia; Lachnospirales; Lachnospiraceae. The record is from RNAcentral.